Molecule: microRNA precursor, 101 nt
Filed under: Prunus dulcis (almond)
Lineage: Eukaryota; Viridiplantae; Streptophyta; Magnoliopsida; Rosales; Rosaceae
Description: sRNA ncRNA
Rfam family: MIR535 microRNA precursor family
Source: RNAcentral
UGACUUUGUUUGACAACGAGAGAGAGCACGCUUGUCGGCACCCAUGAAAGGGCCAUGGAUGUUUACGGGCGUGCUCUCUCUUGUUGUCAUACAGUCUAUCA